UGUAAGUGCUUGAAGUUCUGGCCAUCCUUUUGUUGCUGAUUGAGCUUCUUCAUUGAUUGGCAGUGGUAUUGGAUCUUUUCUUUGAAAAAAUUAGAGUGUUUCAAGCAGGCUUUAUGAUAUGAAUACAUUAGCAUGGAAUAAUAAUUUAGGACUUCGGUUCUAUUUUGUUGGUUUCUAGGACUGAAGUAAUGAUUGAUAGGGACAGUUGGGGGUGCUAGUAUUCAGCGGCCAGAGGUGAAAUUCUCGGAUUCGCCGAAGACUAACUUAUGCGAAAGCAUCCACCAAGGAUGUCUUCUUUAAUCAAGAACGAAAGUUGGGGGAUCGAAGACCGAUCAGAUACCGUCGUAGUCUCAACCAUAAACUAUGCCGUCUAG
Molecule: ribosomal RNA, 374 nt
Filed under: uncultured flagellate
Lineage: Eukaryota
Description: bacterial SSU rRNA
Rfam family: Eukaryotic small subunit ribosomal RNA
Source: RNAcentral